Molecule: ribosomal RNA, 619 nt
Filed under: uncultured beta proteobacterium
Lineage: Bacteria; Pseudomonadati; Pseudomonadota; Betaproteobacteria
Description: bacterial SSU rRNA
Rfam family: Bacterial small subunit ribosomal RNA
Source: RNAcentral
CAAGUCGAACGGGGUGAGGGGGCAACUCUUCAUUCAGUGGCGAACGGGUGAGUAAUGCAUCGGAACGUGUCCCGUAGUGGGGGAUAACCCGGCGAAAGCCGUGCUAAUACCGCAUACGCUCUACGGAGGAAAGCAGGGGACCCGCAAGGGCCUUGUGCUAGGGGGGCGGCCGAUGUCCGAUUAGCUUGUUGGUGGGGUAAUGGCCCACCAAGGCUGCGAUCGGUAGCUGGUCUGAGAGGAUGAUCAGCCACACUGGGACUGAGACACGGCCCAGACUCCUACGGGAGGCAGCAGUGGGGAAUUUUGGACAAUGGGGGCAACCCUGAUCCAGCCAUGCCGCGUGCGGGAAGAAGGCCUUCGGGUUGUAAACCGCUUUUAGCCGGGACGAAAGCUCCACUCCUAAUAGGGGUGGGGGUUGACGGUACCGGCGGAAUAAGCACCGGCUAACUACGUGCCAGCAGCCGCGGUAAUACGUAGGGUGCGAGCGUUAAUCGGAAUUACUGGGCGUAAAGCGUGCGCAGGCGGUUCGUUGUGUCGGCGGUGAAAGCCCCGGGCUCAACCUGGGAAUGGCCGUUGAAACUGGCGAACUGGAGUGUGGCAGAGGGGGGUGGAAUUCCGC